This 483-nucleotide ribosomal RNA is filed under the name uncultured bacterium. Its description in RNAcentral is "partial 16S ribosomal RNA". It matches the Rfam family "Bacterial small subunit ribosomal RNA", at positions 28 to 507 of the family's 1533-position model. The record is from RNAcentral.
GAUGAACGCUAGCGGCAGGCCUAAUACAUGCAAGCCGAACGGCAAGUUUGAUAGCAAUAUUUGACCUAGAGUGGCGCAAGGGUACGUAACACGUAUGCAACCUGCCCGCGACAUGAGGAUAGCUCCCCGAAAGGGGAAUUAACCCUCCAUAACACCAUGAGAAGGCAUCUGAUUAUGGUUAAACCGCAAGUGGUCGCGGAUGGGCAUGCGGUUGAUUAGCUAGUUGGCGGGGUAAAGGCCCACCACGGCGGUGAUCAAUAGGGAUUCUGAGAGGAAGGACCCCGACACUGGGACUGGGAUAAGGGUCAGACUGCUACGGGAGGCGGCAGUAGGGAAUCUUGGACAGUGGUUGUGAGACUGAUCCAGCCAUGGCGCGUGGAGGAAGAAGGCCUUCUAGGUCGUAAACUGCUUUUUCCUGUGGAUAAAAUACCCGUGCGCGGGGAAUUGAAGGUAACAGGAGAAUAAGCCACGGCUAACUACGUG